This 21-nucleotide non-coding RNA is filed under the name Arabidopsis thaliana (thale cress). Lineage: Eukaryota; Viridiplantae; Streptophyta; Magnoliopsida; Brassicales; Brassicaceae. The record is from RNAcentral.
UAGUGGUAUUUCACUUGCGCC